Molecule: ribosomal RNA, 253 nt
Filed under: uncultured bacterium
Lineage: Bacteria
Description: partial 16S ribosomal RNA
Rfam family: Bacterial small subunit ribosomal RNA
Source: RNAcentral
UACGUAGGUCCCGAGCGUUGUCCGGAUUUAUUGGGCGUAAAGGGAACGCAGGCGGUCUUUUAAGUCUGAUGUGAAAGCCUUCGGCUUAACCGGAGUAGUGCAUUGGAGACUGGGAGACUUGAGUGCAGAAGAGGAGAGUGGAACUCCAUGUGUAGCGGUGAAAUGCGUAGAUAUAUGGAAGAACACCAGUGGCGAAAGCGGCUCUCUGGUCUGUAACUGACGCUGAGGUUCGAAAGCGUGGGUAGCAAACAGG